GAUGAACGCUGGCGGCGUGCCUCAAACAUGCAAGUCGAGCGGGGCUAUGUAAUAUCGCAAGGUAGAACAUAGCCUAGCGGCGAACGGGUGAGUAACACGUGGGUAACCUGCCUGGAAGACAGGGAUAACGAUUCGAAAGGGUCGCUAAUACCUGAUAAUAUCCUUUCAUCGCAUGGUGAUAGGAAGAAAGGGGGAAACCCGCUUUCAGAUGGGCCCCGCGUCCCAUCAGCUAGUUGGUAAGGUAAAGGCUUACCAAGGCGACGACGGGUAGCCGGUCUGAGAGGAUGUACGGCCACACUGGGACUGAGAUACGGCCCAGACUCCUACGGGAGGCAGCAGUAGGGAAUCUUCCGCAAUGGGCGCAAGCCUGACGGAGCGACGCCGCGUGAGUGAUGAAGGCCUUCGGGUCGUAAAGCUCUGUUCUUGUAGGACGAAUAAGCCAGGGAGUGGAAAGCCCUGGUCGAUGACUGUACUCAAGGAGAAAGCUCCGGCUAACUACGUGCC
RNAcentral lists this ribosomal RNA (504 nucleotides) under uncultured bacterium. RNAcentral's name for it is "bacterial SSU rRNA". It matches the Rfam family "Bacterial small subunit ribosomal RNA", at positions 28 to 509 of the family's 1533-position model. The record is from RNAcentral.